This 367-nucleotide ribosomal RNA is filed under the name uncultured bacterium. Its description in RNAcentral is "bacterial SSU rRNA". It matches the Rfam family "Bacterial small subunit ribosomal RNA", at positions 527 to 896 of the family's 1533-position model. The record is from RNAcentral.
GGAGGAUCCAAGCGUUAUCCGGAUUUAUUGGGUUUAAAGGGUGCGUAGGCGGCUUAUUAAGUCAGGGGUGAAAGACGGUGGCUCAACCAUCGCAGUGCCUUUGAUACUGAUGAGCUUGAAUGAACUAGAGGUAGGCGGAAUGUGACAAGUAGCGGUGAAAUGCAUAGAUAUGUCACAGAACACCGAUUGCGAAGGCAGCUUACUAUGGUUUUAUUGACGCUGAGGCACGAAAGCGUGGGGAUAAAACAGGAUUAGAUACCCUGGUAGUCCACGCCCUAAACGAUGAAUACUCGCUGUUAGCGAUAUACAGUUAGCGGCUAAGCGAAAGCGUUAAGUAUUCCACCUGGGGAGUACGCCCGCAAGGGUG